Molecule: ribosomal RNA, 440 nt
Filed under: uncultured bacterium
Lineage: Bacteria
Description: partial 16S ribosomal RNA
Rfam family: Bacterial small subunit ribosomal RNA
Source: RNAcentral
CCUACGGGGGGCUGCAGUGGGGAAUAUUGCACAAUGGGGGAAACCCUGAUGCAGCGACGCCGCGUGAGUGAAGAAGUAUUUCGGUAUGUAAAGCUCUAUCAGCAGGGAAGAAAAUGACGGUACCUGAUUAAGAAGCCCCGGCUAACUACGUGCCAGCAGCCGCGGUAAUACGUAGGGGGCAAGCGUUAUCCGGAUUUACUGGGUGUAAAGGGGGCGUAGACGGCAGCACAAGUUUGGAGUGAAAUGCCGGGGCUUAACCCCGGGACUGCUUUGGAAACUGUGCAGCUAGAGUGCAGGAGAGGUAAGUGGAAUUCCUAGUGUAGCGGUGAAAUGCGUAGAUAUUAGGAGGAACACCAGUGGCGAAGGCGGCUUACUGGACUGUAACUGACGUUGAGGCUCGAAAGCGUGGGGAGCAAACAGGAUUAGAUACCCCGGUAGUC